This 429-nucleotide long non-coding RNA is filed under the name Amborella trichopoda. Its description in RNAcentral is "long non-coding RNA (ATRI_LNC004055)". Lineage: Eukaryota; Viridiplantae; Streptophyta; Magnoliopsida; Amborellales; Amborellaceae. The record is from RNAcentral.
AAAAAAAAAAACAAAAAAUUCGAUCACGGAUUACAAAAAAAAAAAAAACAAUUCGAUCAUGGAUUACAAAAAAUUCGCUCAUGUAUUACAAAAAAUUUGAUCAUGGAUUACAAAAAAAAAAAAAAAUCUGUUCUUCAUGGAGCCAUCUUACAUAAUCCAUUUUAACUCAAAAAUCCACCUCUAAGCGAAUAAAUUACAUCCAAUUGAGUACAUUUUAUGAUAAACAACAAUAUAAAGAAUCAAAACCCUAAAUUUUGAACACAUUAUCAUCAAUAAAUCAAAUCAAAUCGAUUAAAUUGAGCAAAUAAAAAAACCGCAAUUCUUCACAUACAACAGUCAUUGAAUCUAAAAAAUGAAGCUCAAAUUGAAUAAAUUAGAUCAAAUUGAAUACAUCUAAUUAUAAACAACACUAUAACGAUUAAAAACGCU